UCCUACGGGAGGCAGCAGUGAGGAAUAUUGGUCAAUGGUCGGGAGACUGAACCAGCCAAGCCGCGUGAGGGAUGAAGGUACAGAGUAUCGUAAACCUCUUUUGUCAGGGAACAAAGGCGGGGACGUGUCCCCGGAUGAGUGUACCUGAAGAAAAAGCAUCGGCUAACUCCGUGCCAGCAGCCGCGGUAAUACGGAGGAUGCGAGCGUUAUCCGGAUUUAUUGGGUUUAAAGGGUGCGCAGGCGGUCUGUUAAGUCAGCGGGCAAAGCCCGGGGCUCAACCCCGGCCCGCCGUUGAAACUGGCAGG
RNAcentral lists this ribosomal RNA (305 nucleotides) under uncultured bacterium. RNAcentral's name for it is "bacterial SSU rRNA". It matches the Rfam family "Bacterial small subunit ribosomal RNA", at positions 337 to 640 of the family's 1533-position model. The record is from RNAcentral.